RNAcentral lists this ribosomal RNA (253 nucleotides) under uncultured bacterium. Its description in RNAcentral is "partial 16S ribosomal RNA". It matches the Rfam family "Bacterial small subunit ribosomal RNA", at positions 524 to 776 of the family's 1533-position model. The record is from RNAcentral.
UACGUAGGGUGCAAGUGUUGUCCGGAAUUAUUGGGCGUAAAGAGCUCGUAGGCGGUUUGUCGCGUCUGCUGUGAAAACGCGAGGCUCAACCUCGCGCCUGCAGUGGGUACGGGCAGACUAGAGUGCGGUAGGGGAGAUUGGAAUUCCUGGUGUAGCGGUGGAAUGCGCAGAUAUCAGGAGGAACACCGAUGGCGAAGGCAGAUCUCUGGGCCGUAACUGACGCUGAGGAGCGAAAGCGUGGGGAGCGAACAGG